This is a long non-coding RNA of Salvia splendens (bonfire salvia), 107 nucleotides long. RefSeq lists it as uncharacterized. The record is from RefSeq and is a predicted model, not a curated record. The transcript has 3 exons. Lineage: Eukaryota; Viridiplantae; Streptophyta; Magnoliopsida; Lamiales; Lamiaceae.
UCUGAAGAUUGUGAAGAACUGAAGGCUCGUUCAAAUAACUUAGUUGUGUAAGAUCAUCUACUUAGUCAAGUAUCUGAGGAUUGGUUGGUAGAAGGUCUUGAGUGGGA